This 454-nucleotide ribosomal RNA is filed under the name uncultured eukaryote. RNAcentral describes it as "SSU rRNA". It matches the Rfam family "Eukaryotic small subunit ribosomal RNA", at positions 1 to 454 of the family's 1831-position model. The record is from RNAcentral.
AACCUGGUUGAUCCUGCCAGUAGUCAUAUGCUUGUCUCAAAGAUUAAGCCAUGCAUGUCUAAGUACAAGCCUCACUAAGGUGAAACCGCGAAUGGCUCAUUAAAUCACACCUAAUCUACUGGAUAGUAAAAAGUUACUUGGAUAACUGCGGUAAUUCUGGAGCUAAUACAUGCACAAAGCCUCAACCUUACGGGAGAGGUGCUUUUAUUAGAUCAAAACCAAACGGCUUCGGCUGUACUCUUGGUGACUCUGAAUAACUUUGGGCUGAUCGCAUAGCCUUGCGCUGGCGACAUAUCCUUCGAAGGUGUGCCCUAUCAACUGUCGACUGUGGCAUAGACGCCCACAGUGGUUUUGACGGGUAACGGGGAAUCAGGGUUCGAUUCCGGAGAGGGAGCCUUAAAAACGGCUACCACAUCUAAGGAAGGCAGCAGGCACGCAAAUUACCCAAUGACCG